RNAcentral lists this long non-coding RNA (1723 nucleotides) under Dendronephthya gigantea. Its description in RNAcentral is "uncharacterized LOC114535850". The record is from RNAcentral. Lineage: Eukaryota; Metazoa; Cnidaria; Anthozoa; Malacalcyonacea; Nephtheidae.
GCAUGUGGUAUAUAGGAUGUUUGCUAACAUACAGUACUAAGCAAACAUAAGGAUAAUGCUUCUGAUCUGUCAUCUUUCACGCCAUAUAAUAAUGCUCAUUACGCGUUCAUUUCGAUUCAGUAAAGGUCGGUAUGCUGACCAAUACUGACCGUCUCGGGCGGUAACUUCAAUCCAUGGGUGAUCAAUGACAUGAAUUAUUACAACAUUGGAAAAACAGGAGGCACAAAAACACGAUAUCAAGUACAUUCCGUCCCUUUAUGAUUGGCCAUUAAGAACCAAAACGGAGUAAAUCGAAUUCUGAUGAAGUUCAUUGCGCUUGUGCCAAUUGCCAUCAAUCACACUGUCACUGCGGAGGCUGGGACUGGGAGGUGACAAUCCAGUGUGAAAAAUAAGGGAAGUACUUCAAGAUUUCCUGAAAUAAUUUUUUCAAGAGUGUUUAAUUCUUUUAAAAUUAUCUCAGAUUUCAUCACCACUCCUACAUCAAGUCACAAGUACAGUAUAUCCUGUCAUUAGAGGGUGCAAUGGAAAGAUUCUUGUCUGCGGUAUGAAGACUUGCAGGAAUAAGUGGGAAAAAAGUAGCAGAAGAAGAGGAACAACCUUUGCUUACGAACAAUAUCCAAACAACCUGGUCACCAACAAAAUUUACAUUUAUACGUAUUUGUUUAUACCAUAAGUUCAUACCACGAUAGGUCAGUCCACGGGUCAGUUUGUUUUCAAGCAGUUGAUUGCAGAAUAAUAUACAAAAUCUGGCCAUCUAUUUAUAUCAAACCCCUCUUGUGAUUAACAAUGAUAGAUUUUUCAUUUUGACCAUGUGGUGUGAGGCCCGAAAUUGCAAGGUAGUGCCGUAGUGGCCUUUAAAUUGAAAAUUGCGCUCUAAAAUUAAAACUCCUAAGAGUUUCAAAAGUUAAGCUUCCAGGAUAAGCUUUUAUGUCUUUGUCUUUACAUUUAAGGUAACGCCAUGAUGAACAGAGUAGAGGGGAAGAUACCUCGCUAGGGUCCAUCAAAUUUUGUUUUUCUUGAAUGAGACUAUUGUAUAUUGUAAGAGGUUUGCCUUUGUAAAGUACAAAAAUAGACAAACAGGGAUGCAAACUACUAGUCUUAUCUAUUAGGAUCUAUGUGGAAAGAUGCAAAACAUCCUUCUUAAACACAUGCAUGAAAAAGGUUGUGGAAGAAAGCCAUAACAUGAGAAUAAGACCUCAUGUCUUGCCAAGAGCCUCAUUUUUGAGUUAUGCCUGGUACAAUUAUAGAAUACCCUGCUAAUAGUGCAUUUAUAUGUUAAAGAUCUGUUUAAGGAACAAUUUUAGAGUAUUGAAUUGCCCCGUUCUUUAAAAAUAGUGUUUAUUCUUGUUCUCUGGAGGUCCAAUGCAAUAAGAAACAUAAAACAAAGUACAUUUAUCUAUAAGACUAUAUGGCAUUCACUGUUAAGAGUUGGCAGGGUAUUCUAUAAUUGCUCCCCCAAAUACAUAGGAGUGCGUGAAAUUCUGACAAUUUUAUAGAAAAAUAAUCACUAUUUACGCUCUAUUAUACUAAAAUGUAUAAUAUACUUUGAUAAGAUCGCUCUGAGAAUUUCAACGACAUCCAUUAUAGAAUAGGAACGAUAACUCAUUUAAUAAAGUUCGCCAAUAUUUUUAUUGUAGUUCCGCCAUAUUUCUUGUGUAAAACUUCAAAGGUUCUGACGUCAGAUUUAGGGGAUCGUUGAACAUCGGGUAACCGGGCUCAUGUA